AAUCCCCUUGAAAUUAGAAAAUUAUUUUUUCCUUCUACAGAUAGAAACCUAGGGGAAAAAAAAUCAAACAAGUAAAGAUCUCCAUGUUUAGUGUUCAUUGUCUAGUGGUUCCAUUAAAGCCUCUUGGCACUGGAGCUACUAAAAUCAAAUCCACAGUACUGCUCAUUUUCAAACUAUUUAGCAGAACCACCCACUGCUUCUUAACAUAAAUAAUAAUUAUUUUCUCUCUCAUUUAACAGAUGAAAAAGUUGAAAUAUAAAGAAAAGCAGAUCCUGAGAUGAAUCUUUUAAAGUGAAUUUUAAAAAAGCAUAACCCAGUUAUUCUCUCGUUAAAAAUGUAGCUGUAUGAAAAUUUGGGGCGUCCUGCAAUGAGAGCAUUGUUGCGUCCUCCAUGGAGCAUCCACCUGAUGUCUUCAGCACCACAGCUUGGCCCAGCAGGUUCUUCUUUGCUGACAGCUCCAGGGGUUAACCUUUGGGCUGCUGUGGGGGCAGAGCUGGCAAGCUGAUUGAAACACAGCACUUUUUAAUGUUGUGGUGUCAUCCUUUAUUCUGCUCUGAACAGCACCAAGAACCCCAGAGACCUAAGGCACACCCUGGGACUCCAAAUGCUUCAGUAGUGAAAAUACCAUGGAUUAUUUAUAGUGAAAUUAUUUAUAUUAUUUCACCCAGCGAAAGAAAAAUGUGCUGACGUGGCCAGGUGGAAGGAAGCUCUUUUCCCACUGUUCUACAAUUAAAAUUCUAUGUGGAAUAUAACAUUGAAGAAAUAAAUCUCCCAGUGUUUAAUCAGAGAAGAUUCAGGGAUAUAAAUCACUGAGAAAACAGUGAAACAUCUUCUUACAAUGAAUGCAUAAAGGAAAAGGGCUGACUCUGCCUGCUUGUUUGUGAGUGCGUGGGCUGGGACUGCUUAAGGCAGCUGAAAAACUGAAGGCAAAAGGAAUCCCUGAGCUCAUGGGGUGCUCAAGAGCAGCAGCAGGACUGAGACAGUGACAUUGACAAUGGGGACACACAAAGAUAAGGUGUGACUUCAUCAGGCCCCUGCCCAGAAAAGCUCUCGAGCAUCAUUGACCUGUAGACUCCUGAGUGAUCUCAUUGAAGCCUGUGGAAUUUCAUCCAGGUUUAUACAGAAGUGCUGAGGGUUUGUAAGAUAUAAGGAAGUUAAACUAGACUUUUCUAAAGCCUUCUCACUGUAAUUGGUUCAGUGCCAGCACAGAGGCACUGACUGGGCUUUGGAAGUGCACCUCAAAGCCUGGUGCCACUCUCAUUGGGCAAAGUGCCAAAUAACCCACCUAGGUCAUUCAGUAGUUAAGAAAGAGCACAAAAGAACUUGAAGGUUUUUUUGGAACGCCUUAGCCAGUGUAAGAGUGUCUU
This is a long non-coding RNA of Prinia subflava (tawny-flanked prinia), 1367 nucleotides long. RefSeq lists it as uncharacterized. The record is from RefSeq and is a predicted model, not a curated record. Lineage: Eukaryota; Metazoa; Chordata; Aves; Passeriformes; Cisticolidae. The transcript is spliced from 3 exons.